Ostrinia nubilalis (European corn borer) is the source of this 757-nucleotide long non-coding RNA. RefSeq lists it as uncharacterized. The record is from RefSeq and is a predicted model, not a curated record. The transcript has 2 exons. Lineage: Eukaryota; Metazoa; Arthropoda; Insecta; Lepidoptera; Crambidae.
ACGUAAUAAUGAACAAAAAUAACUAAAACUAUCAAAUACAUAAAACAACAAAAAACUGUAAACAAGAUUUUAUUCUUAUCACUAAAUAAAUAACAUUUACAAAACAAAUAAUUACAUAAAUCACUUGAAACUAGCUUAAAAUAAAAUAGAUCAAUCUACAGUGACCUUGCUAAUGGUUCGUUUAUCGGUCGCGCGGGACCCUAAGCAGCUUUCUCUUCAAUCCUUUGCGUCUGGGCAUUGGUCAAAAACAUCGUAUGAUUUUAAUGGGCGGCGCCUAAAGCCGUUUGACCUUUAAAAAUCGUCGGCCAGGGCACGUCUCCCCGGCUCCAUUUUCGACAAACCAACUUGAAAAGUACGGCCGCGUACCUGCCUAUCGCCGCCGCGCCGAUUCAAUUUCAAAUAAUUUAUAAUAUUUAGUGCAAAUGCAAUAAAUACAGAUUGCAAAGUACAAAUUUCUGCGAGUACAAGUUAUUACGCCAUAUUUCAUAAAUAAGUACGAUAAAACUGUGUAGUGAAUACAUCCCCGAUAGGGGAUCGAAUUUGGGGACUAACGCGGAGGCAAACGCGUACCAUCUGCGGCUCAAGAUCCAAGGCGCCUCCAGCUGACAGCGACUACGUCCAGCACCUACGGCCACCAUCUACCUUCGGCCGCCCUCGCCAGGGAAGUCACGGACCGCGAAAGCAUACCCACAGUCGGGCAUCCGAACCCCGCCCUCAUAUUUUUGUAAAAGUAAUAAACCGUAAUUUUAUCUGUGUA